Molecule: ribosomal RNA, 208 nt
Filed under: Entomortierella beljakovae
Lineage: Eukaryota; Fungi; Mortierellomycota; Mortierellomycetes; Mortierellales; Mortierellaceae
Description: Mortierella beljakovae partial large subunit ribosomal RNA
Source: RNAcentral
AGAAGGUAGCAGCUUUGGCUGUGUUAUAGCUCUGGAGCGAUACAGUGGGGGGGACUGAGGUUUUCGCAGUGUGUGCUCUCGGGCAAGGUCGACUGGGUGCUAUGUGAUCGUUCGGCGUACAAUGCAUGCAUUUUGCGUCGUGUCUUUUAUAUACUCGCCUGAAUCGACUCUUCCACGCUUAGGAUGUUGACUUAAUGGUUUUAAACGA